Molecule: microRNA precursor, 136 nt
Filed under: Hordeum vulgare
Lineage: Eukaryota; Viridiplantae; Streptophyta; Magnoliopsida; Poales; Poaceae
Description: microRNA MIR1122
Rfam family: MIR1120/MIR1122 microRNA precursor family
Source: RNAcentral
UUACUACUCUCUCCGUCCCAAAAUUCUUGUCUUAGAUUUGUUUAGAUAUGAAUGUAUCUAGUCAAGUUUUAGUAUUUAGAUACAUCCAUUUCUAGACAAAGUUAAGACAAGAAUUUUGGGACAGAGGGAGUACUAU